UAAGUGCACUUGUAUAUAAAUAGAAAAUAAACAUACAAGGAUUUUUCAGAGGCGUAAUGUAAUAAGUACACUUAUGCCUGUUUAGAUUAAUAUGUAAGGCAACACUUGCAGUGUGAUAAUGUUUCAAGUGCCUUUACCUAAUUAACUGAAAACACCUAAGUAUCAUGUUAAACAAUUAAACAAGAUAGCAGAUGUUUUGUCUUGUACCUGGAAUGGAAUGUGAACAUAAAAGCUUAUGUUUUCAUCAAGUAAGGAAGGCAAUGUAUUAAAUAAUAGAAAUAAUGCAAAAUAUACACUGAAUAGAAAACGCAAGGCACAGCCAGAAAAGUGGAAACUAAAUAUUUGAAAGAAACGACGCAUGCUUGGACUACAGUACACAAAUACAAAAGGGAAGACUGUUGAAGCAAAGCGGCUAUUAGAUGCUCGUUGCAACUGCAGAUAUAAAUGUAGAAAAAUCUUCACACAUGAGCAAAGAGAUGCAGUUUUUCAAAACUACUGGAAUAUUGGAUCCUACGAACGCCAAAAGGACUUUUUAUGUUCCAAUGUGAAGGAAAACACUCCUGAGAGAGUUCGUUCAAGUGCAAAGAAGAGACGUGUGUGUUCAAGAAGCUUCUACCUUGACAAUAAGCGAGUCUGUAAAGAUUUUUUUCUUAGAACGUUAAAUAUUGGAAAAAGGGUGGUAGAAACGGCUUUGAAGUCCUCAUCCACUGGAAUAUUUGCUGCAUUUGACAAAAGAGGGAAACAUACACCACACAAUAAGACCCCAGAAGCAGUGAUUAACCAGGUUAGACAGCAUAUUGAAUCUUUCCCUACGGUUGAGGCCCACUAUACAAGGCAAGACACAAGGAGAAAUUUUCUUGGAAGUGAUCUUAAUAUCACAUAGAUGUAUAGGUUAUAUAAAGAGAAGUGUGUAGCAGAGAAAAAGAAAGCUGUCAGUGCAUCAAAGUACAGAACAGUAUUCUGUGAGGAAUAUAAUAAUUCAUUUCAUGUACCUAAAAAAGAUCAAUGUCAAACAUGUGUCGUAUACCACCAGAAAGAGACAGAUGGUGAAUUAACAGAAACCAUCAAACAGGAUUACGAAGAGCACAUUAAAAGAAAGUUAAAAGCAAGAGCUGAGAAAUAAAACGACAAAACUAAACCCAAAGAAGAUAAAUCAUACUGUGUUGCUACUUUUGACUUGGAAGCGGUGUUGCCAGUUCCGUGUUGACUUGUCAGUCAAGUCUACUAUAAGCGGAAACUAAGUUGUUUCAAUUUGUCGUUCUAUUCUUUGGCAGAUGCAAGUGUGACUUGCUACCUGUGGAAUGAAACCGAAGGCAACAGGGGAUCGUGUGAGAUAGGAACUUGCAUACAGACUUACAUACAGUCAUUGCCAGUGACAACAAAACAUCUGUGCCUUUACUCAGAUUGUUGUUCAGGACAGAAUCGAAACAGGUUCAUUUCAUCAGCUUUGCUACAAGCCAUCAGUAAAAGUCCUAGUUUAGAAACAAUCGAUCAAAAAUAUCUAGAAACAGGACACACUCAGAUGGAGAGUGAUUCGGUGCAUGCAGCAGUAGAAAAUGCUAAGAGGCGUACUUCAGUCUUUGUUCCAAGCGAAUGGGACACAAUCGUUAGAUUUGCUCGGAAGAAAAAAUUCUAUACAGUUGUGCCUAUGAAACACUAUGACUUCCAUAAUUUAAAGUGUCUGGCAAAGUCUGUAUUUCCACAAAAUAUCAUUGAUCUUGAAGGAAGAAGAAUUCAAUGGAUGAAAGUUAAGAGGCUCCAAUUUCGAAAAGCAGACAUAAGCAAUAUUUAUGUCAAGCAUGACUUUGACGAGGAAUUCCAGUGCAUAAAAAUCAAACAGUCACGAAAAGGUAUUUCUCUCAGUUCAAAGCUACCACGACUGUAUACUGAGAAACUGCCAAUAACAACUGCUAAAAAGAAAGAUUUAAUUUCUUUGUGUAGAAAUGGAACAAUACCCUCGGAGUAUCACAAAUACUACGAAGAUAUACCAGAUGACAAAAAUGUGAGAGACUGCUUACCAGAUUCUGACCACUGGAAAGUGAUAGAGACUCCGACCCAGAGUAAGGAUCAGCUUGAUUGAGUUUUGUUACAAUACAUGCAUAGGUGUUGUAUUCAGUGGACAGUUGAAAUCAGUAGACAGUUAAAUUGGUACAAAAGAAACAGUAAAAUGUAUAGUGACAGAGGUCUCUUCAUAAACAAUAUUUACAGAGAGGACUAUAUGAAAGUUUUGUUUGACAAUAAAUGUUACUUGUGA
Molecule: long non-coding RNA, 2254 nt
Organism: Dreissena polymorpha
Lineage: Eukaryota; Metazoa; Mollusca; Bivalvia; Myida; Dreissenidae
Exons: 2
Source: RefSeq, a predicted model, not a curated record